Small nucleolar RNA from Humulus lupulus (European hop), 106 nucleotides. NCBI's taxonomy places the organism in Eukaryota, Viridiplantae, Streptophyta, Magnoliopsida, Rosales, Cannabaceae. The record is from RefSeq and is a predicted model, not a curated record.
AUUCCAUGAUGUGGGCACUUUCUUUGCAUCUCUUUAAAACAUUUCCGUGCAUCAUAGAAAGACUCCCCAUCCAACUGAUGAAAGUUAUUAAUCUCUCCUCUAUAUC